AUGUGUUCUGCGAGGUCCUGCAAACAUACUGGCAAAAUGAGAUGAUCAAGUUAGAUGCUCACCUACUGUGUUGCUGAGUCAUCAAGGAUCCAGCUUGUUCUUGAAACAUUGAAGUUUGCGCUCUGCAAGUGAACGACGCCUUGUGGUGCCAUCCCAAAGAGGUUCAAAUCACUCUCAAGGACCUUUUCCUGGACUGUGCCCAGCUGGUGGAAUGACCUCCCAAUCUCAAUUCGUACAGCUGAGUCUUUACUCAUUUUCAAGAAACAUCUAAAGACCCAUCUUUUUCGCCAGCACUUAACCAGCUAAUACUAGCACUUUUCCUUCUUUUCUUGUCUUUCAUAUUUAAAAAAAAAAAAAAAAACCUGGCUAUGCAUUCUGUACUACACUAACUGAGACUUGUCAUGGCACUUGUAUACUGUUGUUGUUCUCUUGUUGACCUGACUGCUUCUAUUGUUCUCAUUUGUAAGUAGCUUUGGAUAAAAGUGUCUAAUUAAAUGUAAAUGUUUAUACAGGACGGUACAGAAAGGGCACAAGUGGGAGAGAGUGGAGGGGAUGGCGUCAGAAUGGACCUAGUGCUGGGACUCUUUCAAGGAUCACCCAAAGCACAACCACACUGU
Carassius carassius (crucian carp) is the source of this 617-nucleotide long non-coding RNA. RefSeq lists it as uncharacterized. The record is from RefSeq and is a predicted model, not a curated record. Lineage: Eukaryota; Metazoa; Chordata; Actinopteri; Cypriniformes; Cyprinidae. The transcript has 4 exons.